This 500-nucleotide ribosomal RNA is filed under the name uncultured bacterium. RNAcentral's name for it is "partial 16S ribosomal RNA". It matches the Rfam family "Bacterial small subunit ribosomal RNA", at positions 30 to 523 of the family's 1533-position model. The record is from RNAcentral.
AUUGAACGCUGGCGGCAUGCUUUACACAUGCAAGUCGAACGGCAGCACGGACUUCGGUCUGGUGGCGAGUGGCGAACGGGUGAGUAAUACAUCGGAACGUACCCAGUAAUGGGGGAUAACUACCCGAAAGGAUAGCUAAUACCGCAUACGCCCUACGGGGGAAAGAGGGGGAUCGCAAGACCUCUUGUUAUUGGAGCGGCCGAUGGCGGAUUAGCUAGUUGGUAGGGUAAAGGCCUACCAAGGCAACGAUCAGUAGCGGGUCUUAGAGGACGAUCCGCAACAUUGGGACGGAGACGCGGUCCAGACUCCGACGGGAGGCAUCAGUGGGGAAUCUUGGACAAUGGGCGCAAGCCUGAUCCAGCAAUGCCGCGUGCGUGAAGAAGGCCUUCGGGUUGUAAAGCGCUUUUGUCAGGGAGCAAAUCCUUGUGGCUAAUACCCACCGGGGAUGAGAGUACCUGAAGAAUAAGGACCGGCUAACUACGUGCCAGCCGCCGCAGUAA